This 465-nucleotide ribosomal RNA is filed under the name uncultured bacterium. RNAcentral describes it as "partial 16S ribosomal RNA". It matches the Rfam family "Bacterial small subunit ribosomal RNA", at positions 338 to 795 of the family's 1533-position model. The record is from RNAcentral.
CCUACGGGCGGCUGCAGUGGGGAAUAUUGCGCAAUGGGCGAAAGCCUGACGCAGCGAAGCCGCGUGAGGGAUGAAGGUCUUCGGAUCGUAAACCUCUGUCAGCAGGGAAGAAAGGUCACUGUGCUAAUCAGCAGUGAAUUGACGGUACCUGCAAAGGAAGAACCAGCUAACUCCGUGACAGCAGCCGCGGUAAUACGGAGGGUGCGAGCGUUAAUUGGAAUUACUGGGCGGAAAGCGAUCGUAGGUGGUAUGUCAAGUCAAGGGUGAAAUCCCCGCGCUCAACGUGGGAACUGCAUUUGAAACUGGCAAACUGGAGUGUGUGAGAGGAUGGUGGAAUUCGUGGUGUAGGAGUGAAAUCCGUAGAUAUCUGGAGGAACAUCAGUGGCGAAGGCGACUAUCUGGCACAUCACUGACGCUGAGGAGCGAAAGCGUGGGUAGCAAACAGGAUUAGAUACCCCAGUAGUC